CCUGGGGAACUGAAACAUCUAAGUACCCGGAGGAAGAGAAAUCAAACGAGAUGCCCACAGUAGCGGCGAGCGAAGAGGGCAGAGCCCAAACCGAGAAGCUCCGGCUUUUCGGGGUUGAGGACCGGCAGAAUCGAAGUCAGGCCUAGUUGAAUUACCUGGAAAGGUAAGCGAGAGAGGGUAAAAGCCCCGUAGACGAAAGGCAGAGCAGAGAGGCCGAGAUCCAGAGUACCACGAAGCACGAGGAAUUUUGUGGGAAGCAGGGGGGACCACCCUCCAAGGCUAAAAACUACUUGGCGACCGAUAGCGCAUAGUACCGUGAGGGAAAGGUGAAAAGAACCCCGGGAGGGGAGUGAAAUAGUACCUGAAACCGUAUGUCUACAAGCAGUCGAAGCGAAAGCGACGGCGUGCCUAUUGAAGAAUGAACCAACGAGUUAUCUGCACUAGCGAGGUUAAGUGGAAGACACGGAGCCGCAGCGAAAGCGAGUCUUAAGAGGGCGCUAGUUAGUGUAGGUAGACCCGAAACCGCAGUGAUCUACCCAUGUCCAGGUUGAAGCGCAGGUAAAAUUGCGUGGAGGACCGAACCGGUGAGCGUUGAAAAGCUUUCGGAUGAGAUGUGGGUAGGGGUGAAAUUCCAAUCGAACGCGGAGAUAGCUGGUUCUCCCCGAAAUAGCUUUAGGGCUAGCCUGAGGUAGUAAGUAUAGGCGGUAGAGCACUGAUCGGGCUAGGGGCCGUAAAGGUUACCGAACCCUGUCAAACUCCGAAUGGAUAUACUGUAGAGCCUUGGAGUCAGACUACGAGUGAUAAGAUCCGUGGUCAAAAGGGAAACAGCCCAGACCACCAGCUAAGGUCCCCAAUGUCGUACUAAGUGGAAAAGGAUGUGGGGUUUCAUAAACAACCAGGAUGUUGGCUCAGAAGCAGCCACCAUUUAAAGAGUGCGUAAUAGCUCACUGGUCGAGAGACCCUGCGCCGAAGAUUCCCGGGGCUAAAGUACGAAACCGAAGCUGUGGCUGUAUACGUAAAGUAUACGGGGUAGGGGAGCGUUCCCAUAGGGUAGAAGUCGAACUGGAAGGUUCGGUGGACUUGUGGGAAGUGAGAAUGUUGGUAUGAGUAGCGAAAAGAAAGGUGAGAAUCCUUUCCACCGAAAGCAUAAGGAUUCCUGAGCAACGAUCGUCGUCUCAGGGUAAGUCGGGACCUAAUCCGAGGCAGAGAGCGUAGGAGAUGGACAACUGGUUGAUAUUCCAGUACCGGUAGUAAUUGUUUGAGCAAUGGAGUGACACAGAAGGGCAGGCAAGCAUGCGAAUGGAAGAGCAUGUGUAAGCGUGUAGGGUGGUGCAUAGGCAAAUCCGUGCACUGAAAGCCUGAGGCGUGAUGCGGAGUGAGCAGAGAUGCGAGCGAAGUUGUUGACCCCACACUGUCGAGAAAAGCUUCUAGUGAGAGAGCUACCGCCCGUACCGUAAACCGACACAGGUAUGCGGGGAGAGAAUCCUAAGGUGCGCGGGAGAACCCUCGUUAAGGAACUCGGCAAAAUGUACCCGUAACUUCGGGAUAAGGGUAGCCACUGUUGUGAAGUCCCAUGCGGAUGGAGCAUAGAGUGGUCGCAGAGAAGAGGCCCAAGCGACUGUUUACCAUAAACACAGGUGCCUGCUAAAGCGAAAGCUGACGUAUAGGUGCUGACACCUGCCCAGUGCCGGAAGGUUAAGGAAGGAUGUUCGGAUUAGUCCAAAGCAUUCGACUGAAGCCCCGGUGAACGGCGGCCGUAACUAUAACGGUCCUAAGGUAGCGAAAUUCCUUGUCGGGUAAGUUCCGACCCGCACGAAAGGUGUAACGAUUUGGGCACUGUCUCAACGAGGGACCCGGUGAAAUUGAAAUACCUGUGAAGAUGCAGGUUACCCGCGACUGGACAGAAAGACCCCAUGGAGCUUUACUGUAACCUGACAUUGGGUUUUGAUACAUUACGUACAGGAUAGGUGGGAGGCUUGGAAAGCUGGACGCUAGUCUGGCUGGAGCCGACGUUGGGAUACCACCCUUGAUGUAUUGAAAUUCUAACCGCGAGAGUAACGAAAUCCGGGACAGUGUCAGGCGGGCAGUUUGACUGGGGCGGUCGCCUCCGAAAGAGUAACGGAGG
RNAcentral lists this ribosomal RNA (2125 nucleotides) under human gut metagenome. RNAcentral describes it as "bacterial LSU rRNA". It matches the Rfam family "Bacterial large subunit ribosomal RNA", at positions 184 to 2306 of the family's 2925-position model. The record is from RNAcentral.